GGAGUUAGCCGGUGCUUCUUCUGUGAGUGAUGUCCUUCCUGCCGGUUAUUGACCCGCAGGCCUUCUUCCUCACUGAAAGUGCUUUACAACCCGAAGGCCUUCUUCACACACGCGGCAUGGCUGGAUCAGGGUUGCCCCCAUUGUCCAAUACCUUCCCCACUGCUGCCUCCCGUAGGAGUCUGGGCCGUGUCUCAGUCCCAGUGUGGCUGAUCAUCCUCUCAGACCAGCUACGGAUCGUCGCCUUGGUGAGCCGUUACCUCACCAACCAGCUAAUCCGACAUAGGCUCAUCCGAUAGCGCGAGGCCCGAAGGUCCCCCGCUUUCCCCCGUAGGGCGUAUGCGGUAUUAGCCUGGGUUUCCCCAGGUUAUCCCCCACUACCGGGCAGAUUCCUAUGCAUUACUCACCCGUCCGCCGCUCGCCACCAGGGAGCAAGCUCCCCGUGCUGCCGCUCGACUUGCAUGUGUUAGGCCUGCCGCCAGCGUUCAAUCUGAACCAAGAUCAAAUUCUGA
RNAcentral lists this ribosomal RNA (509 nucleotides) under uncultured bacterium. RNAcentral's name for it is "partial 16S ribosomal RNA". The record is from RNAcentral.